Molecule: long non-coding RNA, 1876 nt
Organism: Artibeus jamaicensis (Jamaican fruit-eating bat)
Lineage: Eukaryota; Metazoa; Chordata; Mammalia; Chiroptera; Phyllostomidae
Exons: 3
Source: RefSeq, a predicted model, not a curated record
CUUCAUAUCUUCUUGGUGAACUGAACCAUUUGUUCCUUGAAUCAUUUAUUAUUAUGAAGUUGAUCCUCUUGAAUUGAACAGUUUGGAGGUUCCGGAGACGGCACACAGUGGGACACCGGGCCUUUGUCCGACGUGAGACUCUUUACACUGGAGCCUCGAGGUUGCUUUCCAUUUAACACACUGAUUCCUUUUACUUGACCAACACUCCUGUGCCGGACAUGGUUCUCAGCACUUUGCCCACACGGACGUGUCUCUUCCUCAUGACAGGCAGGUGAAUUCCCGUUGAAGAUGAGAAAACUGUGUGUCGAGAGGCGGAGCCUGAGAGGCAGGUGCGAGGCCAGGGCGCCCGAGUGCUCGGUACCGCCCGCCUACCACCAAACGUGCCCUUUCGGUCUGUGCUGCCUGGGCUGUGCAUUCUCUCUCUCCUUCCCUGCCUUUUUGGAUUGGCUGUUUAAAAGAAAAAAAAGCUUUCCAAAUGAUACCCUCUCUGCUCAAAACCAUUUAUUCUGCACCAGACGGAAGCUGCCUGAGGUCAGAGGUCCGCGUCUGCGUCUGCGUCUGUUCUGUCCGUUGCUUCGCCGUUGGCGCCUGGACAAUGUCCUUGCGUACGAUGAAGGCCCGUGGUCGUCGGCCAGCGAGUGGCAGAAUGCAGCCCGCCCUCCCGCCAGCACGGACCGCUGUGGGGUUAAAGGUUAACGGGGUCCCAUGGCUGGGACCCAGAUGGCAGGGAGCUUUCUCUCCACGGAGUUUGACGGCGCUGCUCUAACAGAGGAAAAGAACAGAAAGUGGCCUGCUUUGCACUGAAACGGCACCGCCUUCCCUCUUGUUUGCUUUGGCAUCACCGAGUUUUAACUCGGCUUCCAUGUAACUCAGUUCACGCAUGUGGCCUGUUGUGGGGCACAAAGUCUCAAGUUCAAGUCUCCGAGAGAGGAGUGAUUCCCCUGACUCACUCAGUGAGAGCGUAUAACAAGAGGCCAGAGACAACCAAGAAAGCGGUUUCCAAUGCGGAUUACUAGCAAACCCCCCCUGAGUGAUGUGAGGGGUGUAGGUUAUAAACGCGGGGAGGGACGUGCCAAUGAAGAGAGAGCAAAUCCUUCCCCACCCUUUUCCUCUUUGGGCAGCAAUCCCGCAUCCCCAGAAGCAAACUUGCACAGCAGCUCGGAAAACUCCCUCCAGUGGGAGCCGGGAGCAGCCGGGACCCUCCGACACCCCUAUAGGCUGGGGCCCGUGUGAGACGCACUGUGACUUGUCCUCCAGAGUCCUGUUUAUGGAAGGACGAGGCGGCGUGAGAGCCUGCGGGAAGGCUCGUUGUCACUCGCCCUGGACUAGAGAGACAAGUUUGUUUUGGACCCAGAGCGAGGAUGGGGGGCAGGGGGGCAAGGGAGGGGGGGGCAGGCCUCUUUUCUCCUCCUUCUUUGCACAAGAAAACUAACCUACGCACUCCUGAUGAGAGAGAUUAUCCCAUGUAUUCUGUUCCCCCCAAUUCAGAAGAAAGCCCACCGAUAAAACCCUCUCCCAGGCCCGGUGCAGCGAUCCCAGAGACCACCUCUGAUCCGACACACGGCUGAGAGAAGCACUUCUACUAAAAUCUAGUUUAGGACUUCCCGUCUUUCCAAACUGAACUUGAAUUUCCUCGUGUUUUGUUUUGUUUUUUUAAUUUUUUUUCUUUUAGUGAUUCCAGAGCGGGGAAGAGAGGGAGAAAGAAAAGGAGAGAAACAUCGAUCGGCUGUCUCCUGCACGCGCCCCGACCGGGGACCAAACCCCCAACCCAGGAAUCAAACCCAUGACCCUUCGGUUUGCGGGAUGUCGCCCAACCAACGACCCACGCUGGCCAGGGCUGAACUUGAAUUUCUUAUUGGCCCACUCUACCUUUGAU